Molecule: ribosomal RNA, 114 nt
Filed under: Klebsiella pneumoniae
Lineage: Bacteria; Pseudomonadati; Pseudomonadota; Gammaproteobacteria; Enterobacterales; Enterobacteriaceae
Source: RNAcentral
UGGCGGCACUAGCGCGGUGGUCCCACCUGACCCCAUGCCGAACUCAGAAGUGAAACGCCGUAGCGCCGAUGGUAGUGUGGGGUCUCCCCAUGUGAGAGUAGGGAAUCGCCAGGC